Molecule: long non-coding RNA, 496 nt
Organism: Hydra vulgaris (swiftwater hydra)
Lineage: Eukaryota; Metazoa; Cnidaria; Hydrozoa; Anthoathecata; Hydridae
Source: RefSeq, a predicted model, not a curated record
UUUUACUGUUUUUCUUUUAUUAAUUUUACUUUAAUUGGGAAGUUCAUAUUAUAGUUUUUUAGAAAAAUUUUUUCAAAGUUAUUACAAGCAGAGUUAGUGUGCCCAAGAUUGCAUUCAUGGUGUACCUUAUCCCACUCUUCUGCCGAAAAUUUUGUAUCUUGCGUCAAUGAGAAGAAAAUAGGAAAAUAAUCAGAUAUAUCUGUUUUUAUUAUUCCUGCCGUUAGAGAAGUAUCAAAGAUCGAAUUAGUCAAUAUAUUGUCUAUUGCAGUGAUUGAAGUUGGAGUUAGUGUGUUAAUAAUUGGGAAGAUGUAAUGUUGAAGCAUUUCGUCAAAAAAAAGUUUAGUAUUGGCAUGUUUAUCUUAUUGUAAACAAUCUAUGUUUAUGUCUCCAAUACAGAAUAUUUUUUUUUGCUCAUUAUUGUUUUUUAUAAAAAUUUGUUUUAAAUGAUUGGAAAAGUUAAAUAAAUCACCUUCAGGUGGCCGGUAACAUGUGGAAA